CUACAUGAAGCCGGAAUCGCUAGUAAUCGCGGAUCAGAAUGCCGCGGUGAAUACGUUCCCGGGUCUUGUACACACCGCCCGUCACACCAUGGGAGUCGGAAAUGCCCGAAGUCGGUGACCCAACCGCAAGGAGGGAGCCGCCGAAGGCAGGUCCGGUAACUGGGGUGAAGUCGUAACAAGGUAAC
Molecule: ribosomal RNA, 185 nt
Filed under: uncultured bacterium
Lineage: Bacteria
Description: partial 16S ribosomal RNA
Rfam family: Bacterial small subunit ribosomal RNA
Source: RNAcentral